This is a long non-coding RNA of Mastomys coucha (southern multimammate mouse), 398 nucleotides long. RefSeq lists it as uncharacterized. The record is from RefSeq and is a predicted model, not a curated record. The transcript is spliced from 3 exons. Lineage: Eukaryota; Metazoa; Chordata; Mammalia; Rodentia; Muridae.
CUCGGAACCAUGAGCUUCUUUUCUACCUGUUUUAGCGUGUCAACGGACGGUGAGACUUGGACUUUCUGGACCAGGAAAUGAAAUGACUAAUCUCUGGCUGAGGACGCCUCUAUCACCAUUUAGAAGUAGUAUCUCUGGAGAACUCCCCAGGCUCUAAGUUGUAGGAGAUUGCUCAGGUAUAUCCAUUCUGGGAUGUACUAUACUGUAGCACGGAAUCAGAAUCCCAGCUUCUCUACAGGCCGCUAAGCUGUUCGCCAUGAUGGAGUUCUCAGAAAGGGAAGGAAGACUGAGCAACAGCAGCGUGCUGCAGCAGGACUGUCCCCUCUGGCUUUGAAGACAGACAUGGUGGCACGGCAGCACGGCGGCAUGGCAGCAUGGCUGGCGGCACAGCGGCACAG